This 1031-nucleotide long non-coding RNA is filed under the name Citrus sinensis (sweet orange). Its description in RNAcentral is "long non-coding RNA (CSIN_LNC002844)". Lineage: Eukaryota; Viridiplantae; Streptophyta; Magnoliopsida; Sapindales; Rutaceae. The record is from RNAcentral.
UUAUCUCAUCUUCUCAUCUCUUAUCUCUCAUCGCGGUGCUAUUGAUUUUUGUCCAGCGAUAUUUCGGUCAAAUAUUGGAAUGCGUUAAAAAAAAAAGGAGUGAUGGUGAAUGGUCGGGAUCGAGGAGAUAAACUGGGCAGAGGUCAAACUAUGACCGCAUCAGUAAUUCGAUAACUGACACGUGUUCGGUACCGGCUGGGUUAUGAAGGAUGGUGAAGUUUUUACUGUACUGCCUUUCGCCGGUGACAUUUACAGCCAUAACUGUACUGUGGUCGUACCACUACAAGCACACAAGCCUUUGAAUAAAUAAAAGAAGGGAAAUGGCUGUGGGGCAUCUUCAGUAAUCUCGUGAGUCAUACACGUGCUGCCUCGUGUUUUGUUUGCUUCAUUUAUUUAUUUUACUUUUUAGGUGAUCCUAUUAUCUUUCUAUGAUUCACCUAAAGCUUUUAGCGUAUCAAAGUCAAGCUGGCUUCUGUAUAUGAAAACGAAUCUCGCUUCACUGAAAGUUUGAGAUUGUGUUAAUUGCAAGUUUGAAUUUCAAAACGUUCUAAGAGAAUUACGAGUUUGAUCUUGUCUGCGGUAAGGUAAUCUGGUAUUUAAUGGGAAUAACAUAAGUAUAUAUACAUCGAUUAUAAUUAAAAUAUUUUGUGCAGAUCGGAUUCAACGAGAUACCAUUACCAAUGGUAAUCUCUUCGUAUUUGCAGACUCGCGUGUAUGAGAUGAAGAUGCAAGCGAUGUAUAUCAGGUGAUGAUCGAUCAUGAUUUACUUCAAACUAAAAAUGGAGAAUUCUACGAAAUAGAUGGAUGUUUAUCUUCGUUGCAAAUUUGCUAUCGCAACCCCAAUGCAACAUCGAAAUUAUAAUUAUGUUGAUUUUUUUUUUCAUUUCACACAUCCCGACUCCAUCACAGCCACGCAUGCAUAAACAAACAGAAAGAUCUUACUUUGCAAUUGAAUAAUCUAUUUGUAUUUGGAAAUAUCAUUUUUAUCCCUAAAGAGCGUGUUUUUCUUAUGUUAUUUUAACACUAAGAAU